CUCCUACGGGAGGCAGCAGUAGGGAAUCUUCCGCAAUGGACGAAAGUCUGACGGAGCAACGCCGCGUGAGUGAUGAAGGUUUUCGGAUCGUAAAACUCUGUUAUUAGGGAAGAACAAAUGUGUAAGUAACUGUGCACAUCUUGACGGUACCUAAUCAGAAAGCCACGGCUAACUACGUGCCAGCAGCCGCGGUAAUA
RNAcentral lists this ribosomal RNA (197 nucleotides) under uncultured bacterium. Its description in RNAcentral is "partial 16S ribosomal RNA". It matches the Rfam family "Bacterial small subunit ribosomal RNA", at positions 336 to 525 of the family's 1533-position model. The record is from RNAcentral.